This 503-nucleotide ribosomal RNA is filed under the name uncultured bacterium. RNAcentral describes it as "bacterial SSU rRNA". It matches the Rfam family "Bacterial small subunit ribosomal RNA", at positions 8 to 507 of the family's 1533-position model. The record is from RNAcentral.
AGAGUUUGAUCAUGGCUCAGGAUGAACGCUAGCGGGAGGCCUAACACAUGCAAGCCGAGCGGUAGAGAUUCUUCGGAAUCUUGAGAGCGGCGUACGGGUGCGGAACACGUGUGCAACCUACCUUAUCUGGAGGAUAGCCCUUUUCGAAAAGGGAAAGAGUUAAUACUCCAUAAUAUAUUGAUUGGCAUCAAUUGAUAUUGAAAGCUCCGGCGGAUAGAGAUGGGCACGCGCAAGAUUAGUUAGUUGGUGAGGUAACGGCUCACCAAGACGAUGAUCUUUGGGGGCCUGAGAGGGUGAUCCCCCACACUGGUACUGAGACACGGACCAGACUCCUACGGGAGGCAGCAGUGAGGAAUAUUGGUCAAUGGGUGCAAGCCUGAACCAGCCAUCCCGCGUGAAGGACGACUGCCCUAUGGGUUGUAAACUUCUUUUGUAUAGGGAUAAACCUACCCUCGUGAGGGUAGCUGAAGGUACUAUACGAAUAAGCACCGGCUAACUCCGUG